This 214-nucleotide unclassified non-coding RNA is filed under the name uncultured fungus. Its description in RNAcentral is "sequence contains ITS1, 5.8S rRNA gene". The stretch from base 166 to 214 matches the Rfam family "5.8S ribosomal RNA", at positions 1 to 49 of the family's 154-position model. The record is from RNAcentral. Lineage: Eukaryota; Fungi.
UUUUCGUAGGUGAACCUGCGGAAGGAUCAUUAGUGAAUUUUGGGAGUCCCUCUUAACCGGAGAAGGCCCAACCCACUACCUUUUUAUACACUUGUGCAUUUGUCCCUUUUUUACACCCUGUGCAGUCGAAACAGUCCUUUGUAUGAAACUUGAUAAUGAAAGAAAAACUUUCAGCAAUGGAUCUCUUGGCUCUCGCAUCGAUGAAGAACGCAGC